UUGAUUACGUCCCUGCCCUUUGUACACACCGCCCGUCGCUGCCCGGGACUGAGCCAUUUCGAGAAACUUGGGGACAGCCGAUCCGGUUGCCUUCGGGCAGCCGCUUUGGUCGAAACCAAUUUAAUCGCAGUGGCUUGAACCGGGCAAAAGUCGUAACAAGGUAGCUGUAGGUGAACCUGCUGCUGGAUCAUU
RNAcentral lists this ribosomal RNA (192 nucleotides) under Pratylenchus neglectus. Its description in RNAcentral is "partial 18S ribosomal RNA". It matches the Rfam family "Eukaryotic small subunit ribosomal RNA", at positions 1641 to 1830 of the family's 1831-position model. The record is from RNAcentral. Lineage: Eukaryota; Metazoa; Nematoda; Chromadorea; Rhabditida; Pratylenchidae.